RNAcentral lists this ribosomal RNA (482 nucleotides) under uncultured bacterium. RNAcentral's name for it is "partial 16S ribosomal RNA". It matches the Rfam family "Bacterial small subunit ribosomal RNA", at positions 30 to 507 of the family's 1533-position model. The record is from RNAcentral.
AUUGAACGCUGGCGGCAUGCCUUACACAUGCAAGUCGAACGGUAACGGGCCUUCGGGUGCCGACGAGUGGCGAACGGGUGAGUAAUACAUCGGAACGUGCCCGAUCGUGGGGGAUAACGAGGCGAAAGCUUUGCUAAUACCGCAUACGAUCUACGGAUGAAAGCAGGGGACCGCAAGGCCUUGCGCGGACGGAGCGGCCGAUGGCAGAUUAGGUAGUUGGUGGGAUAAAAGCUUACCAAGCCGACGAUCUGUAGCUGGUCUGAGAGGAUGAUCAGCCACACUGGGACUGAGACACGGCCCAGACUCCUACGGGAGGCAGCAGUGGGGAAUUUUGGACAAUGGGCGCAAGCCUGAUCCAGCCAUGCCGCGUGCAGGAUGAAGGCCUUCGGGUUGUAAACUGCUUUUGUACGGAACGAAAAGCCUUCUUUUAAUGCAGGAGGGUCAUGACGGUACCGGAAGAAUAAGCACCGGCUAACUACGUG